RNAcentral lists this ribosomal RNA (645 nucleotides) under uncultured bacterium. Its description in RNAcentral is "bacterial SSU rRNA". It matches the Rfam family "Bacterial small subunit ribosomal RNA", at positions 97 to 728 of the family's 1533-position model. The record is from RNAcentral.
GGCGGACGGGUGAGUAACACGUGGGCAACCUGCCCUGCAGAUUGGGAUAACUCCGCGAAACCGGGGCUAAUACCGAAUAAUAUCGAGGAUUUCAUGAUCUUCUUUUGAAAGAUGGCUUCGGCUGUCACUGCAGGAUGGGCCCGCGGCGCAUUAGCUAGUUGCAGAGGUAACGGCUCACCAAGGCGACGAUGCGUAGCCGACCUGAGAGGGUGAUCGGCCACACUGGGACUGAGACACGGCCCACACUCCUACGGGAGGCAGCAGUAGGGAAUCUUCCGCAAUGGACGAAAGUCUGACGGAGCAACGCCGCGUGAGUGAUGAAGGUUUUCCGAUCGUAAAACUCUGUUGUCAGGGAAGAACACGUACGGGAGUAACUGUCCGUACCUUGACGGUACCUGACCAGAAAGCCACGGCUAACUACGUGCCAGCAGCCGCGGUAAUACGUAGCUCGCAAGCGUUGUCCGGAAUUAUUGGGCGUAAAGCGCGCGCAGGCGGUCUUUUAAGUCUGAUGUGAAAGCCCACGGCUCAACCGUGGAAGGUCAUUGGAAACUGGAAGACUUGAGUGCAGAAGAGAAGAGCGGAAUUCCACGUGUUGCGGUGUAAUGCGUAGAGAUCUGGAGGAACACCAGUGGCGAAGGCGGCUCU